This 512-nucleotide unclassified non-coding RNA is filed under the name uncultured Glomus. RNAcentral describes it as "SSU rRNA". It matches the Rfam family "Eukaryotic small subunit ribosomal RNA", at positions 569 to 1082 of the family's 1831-position model. The record is from RNAcentral. Lineage: Eukaryota; Fungi; Glomeromycota; Glomeromycetes; Glomerales; Glomeraceae.
AGCAGCCGCGGUAAUUCCAGCUCCAAUAGCGUAUAUUAAAGUUGUUGCAGUUAAAAAGCUCGUAGUUGAAUUUCGGGGUCAGUAGGUUGGUCAUGCCUCUGGUAUGUACUGGUCUCACUGAUUCCUCCUUCCUGAUGAGCCGUAAUGCCAUUAAUUUGGUGUCUUGGAGAAUCAGGACUGUUACUUUGAAAAAUUGAGUGUUUAAAGCAGGCUAACGCUUGAAUACAUUAGCAUGGAAUAAUGAAAUAGGACGUUUGAUCCUAUUUUGUUGGUUUCUAGGAUCGACGUAAUGAUUAAUAGGGAUAGUUGGGGGCAUUAGUAUUCAAUUGUCAGAGGUGAAAUUCUUGGAUUUAUUGAAGACUAACUACUGCGAAAGCAUUUGCCAAGGAUGUUUUCAUUAAUCAAGAACGAAAGUUAGGGGAUCGAAGACGAUCAGAUACCGUCGUAGUCUUAACCAUAAACUAUGCCGACUAGGGAUCGGAUGAUGUUAAAUUUUUUAAUGUACUCAUUCC